AAAUGCGAUAAGUAGUGUGAAUUGCAGAAUUCAGUGAAUCAUCGAAUCUUUGAACGCACAUUGCGCCCCUUGGUAUUCCAUGGGGCAUGCCUGUUCGAGCGUCAUUUGUACCCUCAAGCUCUGUUUGGUGUUGGGUGUUUGUCCCCGUCUCCGCGCGUGGACUCGCCCCAAAGUGAUUGGCAGCCGGCGUACUGGUCCCGGAGCGCAGCACAUGUCGCGCAAACGAGUGCCUUGGUACGGCGGCGUCCAUAAGCCCCUCUCUCACGCUCUUGACCUCGGAUCAGGUAGGGAUACCCGCUGAACUUAAGC
Molecule: unclassified non-coding RNA, 309 nt
Filed under: plant metagenome
Description: partial contains 5.8S ribosomal RNA, internal transcribed spacer 2, and large subunit ribosomal RNA
Rfam family: 5.8S ribosomal RNA (bases 1-104)
Source: RNAcentral